Odocoileus virginianus texanus is the source of this 484-nucleotide non-coding RNA. The record is from RefSeq and is a predicted model, not a curated record. NCBI's taxonomy places the organism in Eukaryota, Metazoa, Chordata, Mammalia, Artiodactyla, Cervidae.
GUGUCAUAGAGCAAUGGGACUGAAGCUGGUGGCCCUCUGGAGUCGCCCCAGGGGCUGGUAAAAUAAGACCCCACCCCCAGCCAUAGAUUCUGAUUUAAUUGGUCUGCAGUAGGGCCUUGACUUGGCUCAUUUUCAUUUUAUAUUUUAAACUUUUUAUUUUGUAUCAGGGUAUAGCAGAUUAACAAUGUUGUGGUGGUUUCAGGUGAACAGCAAAGGACAGCCUGGAGCAGCCGGACAUUUCCCCAUGGCUUUUCUGCUGCUCGUGGCCAAGUGCUUCCUGUGAUCCCCACCCCUCUCACAGGAACCCCAUCUCCCAGGCUUGCACCCUGUCCUUUGGGAUAGUCAAAACCAGAUGCCGAGUUCAACACCAAGUUCCAGGGGCAGCUGGGCUCCACCGUCUGCAUGGAUCAGUCAUCUUUGCUUCUCAAAGUCCUUGCAGUUGACCAUUCUUGGCAGUAGCAUUGUGACUCCUACGAUGGCAAUC